Molecule: transfer RNA, 76 nt
Filed under: Acidimicrobium sp. BACL27 MAG-120823-bin4
Lineage: Bacteria; Bacillati; Actinomycetota; Acidimicrobiia; Acidimicrobiales; Acidimicrobiaceae
Also listed under: 5 other names
Description: tRNA-Asn
Rfam family: tRNA
About the family: Transfer RNA (tRNA) molecules are approximately 80 nucleotides in length.
Source: RNAcentral
UCCGGGGUAGCUCAGUUGGCAGAGCAACGGACUGUUAAUCCGUGUGUCGUGGGUUCGACCCCCACCCCCGGAGCCA